AAAUUGAAGAGUUUGAUCAUGGCUCAGAUUGAACGCUGGCGGCAGGCCUAACACAUGCAAGUCGAGCGGUAGCACAGAGAGCUUGCUCUCGGGUGACGAGCGGCGGACGGGUGAGUAAUGUCUGGGAAACUGCCUGAUGGAGGGGGAUAACUACUGGAAACGGUAGCUAAUACCGCAUAACGUCGCAAGACCAAAGUGGGGGACCUUCGGGCCUCAUGCCAUCAGAUGUGCCCAGAUGGGAUUAGCUAGUAGGUGGGGUAAUGGCUCACCUAGGCGACGAUCCCUAGCUGGUCUGAGAGGAUGACCAGCCACACUGGAACUGAGACACGGUCCAGACUCCUACGGGAGGCAGCAGUGGGGAAUAUUGCACAAUGGGCGCAAGCCUGAUGCAGCCAUGCCGCGUGUGUGAAGAAGGCCUUCGGGUUGUAAAGCACUUUCAGCGGGGAGGAAGGCGAUAAGGUUAAUAACCUUGUCGAUUGACGUUACCCGCAGAAGAAGCACCGGCUAACUCCGUGCCAGCAGCCGCGGUAAUACGGAGGGUGCAAGCGUUAAUCGGAAUUACUGGGCGUAAAGCGCACGCAGGCGGUCUGUCAAGUCGGAUGUGAAAUCCCCGGGCUCAACCUGGGAACUGCAUUCGAAACUGGCAGGCUAGAGUCUUGUAGAGGGGGGUGGAAUUCCAGGUGUAGCGGUGAAAUGCGUAGAGAUCUGGAGGAAUACCGGUGGCGAAGGCGGCCCCCUGGACAAAGACUGACGCUCAGGUGCGAAAGCGUGGGGAGCAAACAGGAUUAGAUACCCUGGUAGUCCACGCCGUAAACGAUGUCGAUUUGGAGGUUGUGCCCUUGAGGCGUGGCUUCCGGAGCUAACGCGUUAAAUCGACCGCCUGGGGAGUACGGCCGCAAGGUUAAAACUCAAAUGAAUUGACGGGGGCCCGCACAAGCGGUGGAGCAUGUGGUUUAAUUCGAUGCAACGCGAAGAACCUUACCUGGUCUUGACAUCCACAGAACUUUCCAGAGAUGGAUUGGUGCCUUCGGGAACUGUGAGACAGGUGCUGCAUGGCUGUCGUCAGCUCGUGUUGUGAAAUGUUGGGUUAAGUCCCGCAACGAGCGCAACCCUUAUCCUUUGUUGCCAGCGGUUAGGCCGGGAACUCAAAGGAGACUGCCAGUGAUAAACUGGAGGAAGGUGGGGAUGACGUCAAGUCAUCAUGGCCCUUACGACCAGGGCUACACACGUGCUACAAUGGCAUAUACAAAGAGAAGCGACCUCGCGAGAGCAAGCGGACCUCAUAAAGUAUGUCGUAGUCCGGAUUGGAGUCUGCAACUCGACUCCAUGAAGUCGGAAUCGCUAGUAAUCGUAGAUCAGAAUGCUACGGUGAAUACGUUCCCGGGCCUUGUACACACCGCCCGUCACACCAUGGGAGUGGGUUGCAAAAGAAGUAGGUAGCUUAACCUUCGGGAGGGCGCUUACCACUUUGUGAUUCAUGACUGGGGUGAAGUCGUAACAAGGUAACCGUAGGGGAACCUGCGGUUGGAUCACCUCCUUACCUUAAAGAA
This 1550-nucleotide ribosomal RNA is filed under the name Klebsiella pneumoniae. RNAcentral's name for it is "bacterial SSU rRNA". It matches the Rfam family "Bacterial small subunit ribosomal RNA". The record is from RNAcentral. Lineage: Bacteria; Pseudomonadati; Pseudomonadota; Gammaproteobacteria; Enterobacterales; Enterobacteriaceae.